This 654-nucleotide ribosomal RNA is filed under the name Hylophorbus sp. LAO-2013b. Its description in RNAcentral is "partial 12S ribosomal RNA". The stretch from base 1 to 466 matches the Rfam family "Bacterial small subunit ribosomal RNA", at positions 877 to 1533 of the family's 1533-position model. Lineage: Eukaryota; Metazoa; Chordata; Amphibia; Anura; Microhylidae. The record is from RNAcentral.
GAAUUACGAGCCCAAGCUUAAAACCCAAAGGACUUGACGGUUUCCCACUCCCCCUAGAGGAGCCUGUUCUAUAAUCGAUUCUCCCCGAUCAACCUCACCAUCUCUUGAUUUUAUCAGCCUGUAUACUUCCGUCGCAAGCUUACCUUGUGAACGCAUACUUAGCGUAGCCUAAAGAUCAUUUUCACCAGUACGACAGGUCAAAGUGCAGCUCACGGGAUGGAAGAAAUGGGCUACAAUUUCUACUUUAGAACAAACAAAAGACUAAAUGAAACUCAACCUAAAGGCGGAUUUAGAAGUAAAAGGAAAAUAGAGAGUUCCUUUUAACAAGGGCGCUGGGAUGCGUACAAACCGCCCGUCCCCCUCGUCGAAUAAAUAACAUAACGUAACUCACACCAUUAAUCUUCUUAGAGGAGGCAAGUCGUAACAUGGUAAGCGUACUGGAAAGUGCACUUGGUUAAACAAAAUGUAACUUAACAAAAGUAUCUUGCUUACACCAAGAAUAUGUCUGUAAAACCCAAACCAUUUUGAGCUCAAAAUCUAGCCCCCCCCUUUUUUAAUAAUAUAUAUUAUCAACAAGAAAAACUAAAACAUUUUCUCUACUUAGUAAAGGUGAUUAAAAAGUAUUUAGGAGCCUAAACACUAGUACCGCAAGGG